UGCCUAUUAAAGCUAGUUAUAGACUCGUAAAUUGAUAGGAGUUCAAGUAAAGCAAUUAAUAUAUGAUAAUAUACUGUAAAUUCAAGUGCAAUACUAUGUUUUUUUUUACAAUAUAAUAUAUGCAAGUGCAACUACUAGGUUCCUUUCAUUAGAGAUAUUCAUUCGGGCGCGUCAAACACUAAACGUGGAUAUACAUCACUCAGUUGAAGUUCGAGCUUUGAUUCGCCAUAUCGGAAAAUUUCACUCAUUCAACUAAACUCAAUUUCUAUUGGUUUAUAUAUUUACUUACAGACCUAUCCUAAAACUUUUGGUGUCUUUGAUAAA
This is a long non-coding RNA of Medicago truncatula (barrel medic), 324 nucleotides long. RefSeq lists it as uncharacterized. The record is from RefSeq and is a predicted model, not a curated record. The transcript has 2 exons. Lineage: Eukaryota; Viridiplantae; Streptophyta; Magnoliopsida; Fabales; Fabaceae.